Molecule: ribosomal RNA, 379 nt
Filed under: uncultured bacterium
Lineage: Bacteria
Description: bacterial SSU rRNA
Rfam family: Bacterial small subunit ribosomal RNA
Source: RNAcentral
GACGAACGCUGGCGGCGUGCUUAACACAUGCAAGUCGAGCGGUAAGGCCCUUUUGGGGGUACACGAGCGGCGAACGGGUGAGUAACACGUGGGUGACCUGCCCUCAGCUCUGGGAUAAGCCUGGGAAACUGGGUCUAAUACUGGAUAUGACCUUUCCUCGCAUGGGGGUUGGGUGGAAAGUUUUUCGGCUGGGGAUGGGCCCGCGGCCUAUCAGCUUGUUGGUGGGGUGAUGGCCUACCAAGGCGACGACGGGUAGCCGGCCUGAGAGGGCGACCGGCCACACUGGGACUGAGACACGGCCCAGACUCCUACCGGGAGGCAGCAGUGGGGAAUAUUGCGCAAUGGGCGGAAGCCUGACGCAGCGACGCCGCGUGGGGGA